RNAcentral lists this ribosomal RNA (442 nucleotides) under uncultured bacterium. RNAcentral describes it as "partial 16S ribosomal RNA". It matches the Rfam family "Bacterial small subunit ribosomal RNA", at positions 338 to 795 of the family's 1533-position model. The record is from RNAcentral.
CCUACGGGGUGCUGCAGUGGGGAAUAUUGGGCAAUGGGCGCAAGCCUGACCCAGCAACGCCGCGUGAAGGAAGAAGGCUUUCGGGUUGUAAACUUCUUUUGUCAGGGAAGAGUAGAAGACGGUACCUGACGAAUACUCCACGGCUAACUACGUGCCAGCAGCCGCGGUAAUACGUAGGUGGCAAGCGUUGUCCGGAUUUACUGGGUGUAAAGGGCGUGUAGCCGGGUUGACAAGUCAGAUGUGAAAUCCUGCGGCUUAACCGUAGAACUGCAUUUGAAAUUGUUGAUCUUGAGUACUGGAGAGGCAGACGGAAUUCCUAGUGUAGCGGUGAAAUGCGUAGAUAUUAGGAGGAACACCAGUGGCGAAGGCGGUCUGCUGGACAGCAACUGACGGUGAGGCGCGAAAGCGUGGGGAGCAAACAGGAUUAGAUACCCGGGUAGUC